This 431-nucleotide ribosomal RNA is filed under the name uncultured bacterium. Its description in RNAcentral is "partial 16S ribosomal RNA". It matches the Rfam family "Bacterial small subunit ribosomal RNA", at positions 28 to 505 of the family's 1533-position model. The record is from RNAcentral.
GACGAACGCUGGCGGCAUGCCUAACACAUGCAAGUCGAACGAGACCUUCGGGUCUAGUGGCGCACGGGUGCGUAACGCGUGGGAACCUGCCCUUAGGUUCGGAAUAACUCCCCGAAAGGGGUGCUAAUACCGGAUAAUGUCUUCGGACCAAAGAUUUAUCGCCUUUGGAUGGGCCCGCGUUGGAUUAGCUAGUUGGUAGGGUAAAAGCCUACCAAGGCGACGAUCCAUAGCUGGUCUGAGAGGAUGAUCAGCCACACUGGGACUGAGACACGGCCCAGACUCCUACGGGAGGCAGCAGUGGGGAAUAUUGGACAAUGGGCGAAAGCCUGAUCCAGCAAUGCCGCGUGAGUGAUGAAGGCCUUAGGGUUGUAAAGCUCUUUUACCCGGGAUGAUAAUGACAGUACCGGGAGAAUAAGCUCCGGCUAACUCCG